CCCAUCCCCAUGGUAACGGGGCGUCCCCACCUGAAUUCGGAGCUGCAGUGCUUGGUGUGUCUAUGCAGGAAACACUGGGGCACUUCUGCAUAAGUCUACAUAACAGCAGUGUGUGCUUGCUCAGCAGAUAUCUGCACGAGUCAGAGCCUCCAAACAGAUGCCAGUACCAAAGCCCUUGCAAUGGAGAGCUAUAUGCCUUGUCUCAGUCUACAGUAUCUGUGUGUGCUACUAACACCUCUCCUGUCACUCCCACCUCUGUGGUAGUGGAGACAGGUCAGUGGACACAGCUUGGGAGCAGGAAGAGAGGACUGCAGAUUUCCUCUCAAUACAUCAAAGGGGUGACGUGUUCCUCAUAUACAUGUAUAUUUCUGUGUAACACUUUUAAAAUCCCAACAGAAAUGAACCCCACUUGAA
Molecule: long non-coding RNA, 414 nt
Organism: Gallus gallus (chicken)
Lineage: Eukaryota; Metazoa; Chordata; Aves; Galliformes; Phasianidae
Exons: 2
Source: RefSeq, a predicted model, not a curated record